RNAcentral lists this ribosomal RNA (520 nucleotides) under uncultured fungus. Its description in RNAcentral is "eukaryotic LSU rRNA". The stretch from base 158 to 311 matches the Rfam family "5.8S ribosomal RNA". The record is from RNAcentral. Lineage: Eukaryota; Fungi.
UGAAGGCGGGCUGGAACCUCUCGGGGUUACAGCCUUGCUGAAUUAUUCACCCUUGUCUUUUGCGUACUUCUUGUUUCCUUGGUGGGUUCGCCCACCACUAGGACAAACAUAAACCUUUUGUAAUUGCAAUCAGCGUCAGUAACAAAUUAAUAAUUACAACUUUCAACAAUGGAUCUCUUGGUUCUGGCAUCGAUGAAGAACGCAGCGAAAUGCGAUAAGUAGUGUGAAUUGCAGAAUUCAGUGAAUCAUCGAAUCUUUGAACGCACAUUGCGCCCUUUGGUAUUCCAAAGGGCAUGCCUGUUCGAGCGUCAUUUGUACCCUCAAGCUUUGCUUGGUGUUGGGCGUCUUGUCUCUAGCUUUGCUGGAGACUCGCCUUAAAGUAAUUGGCAGCCGGCCUACUGGUUUCGGAGCGCAGCACAAGUCGCACUCUCUAUCAGCAAAGGUCUAGCAUCCAUUAAGCCUUUUUUUCAACUUUUGACCUCGGAUCAGGUAGGGAUACCCGCUGAACUUAAGCAUAUCA